AUACGGAGGGUGCAAGCGUUGUUCGGAAUCACUGGGCGUAAAGGGCGCGCAGGCGGUUUGAUUAGUCAGAUGUGAAAGCCCACGGCUUAACCGUGGAAGUGCAUUUGAAACUGUCAGACUUGAGUAUCAGAGGGGAAAGUGGAAUUCCCGGUGUAGAGGUGAAAUUCGUAGAUAUCGGGAGGAAUACCGGUAGCGAAGGCGACUUUCUGGCUGAAUACUGACGCUGAGGCGCGAAAGCGUGGGGAGCAAACAGGAUUAGAAACCCGGGUAGUCC
RNAcentral lists this ribosomal RNA (274 nucleotides) under uncultured bacterium. RNAcentral's name for it is "partial 16S ribosomal RNA". It matches the Rfam family "Bacterial small subunit ribosomal RNA", at positions 523 to 796 of the family's 1533-position model. The record is from RNAcentral.